ACAUGACUCGUGUCAGCGCUGCAGAAUACAUUGAAGUCUAUGAAGUGAGUGAUAUUUAUACGAGUAAAGGGUCAUCACAUGACUCGUGUCAGCGCUGCAGAAUACAUUGAAGUCUAUGAAGUGAGUGAUAUUUAUACGAGUAAAGGGUCAUCACAUGACUCGUGUCAGCGCUGCAGAAUACAUUGAAGUCUAUGAAGUGAGUGAUAUUUAUACGAGUAAAGGGUCAUCACAUGACUCGUGUCAGCGCUGCAGAACACAUUGAAGUCUAUGAAGUGAGUGAUAUUUAUACGUGUAAAGGGUCAUCACAUGACUCGUGUCAGCGCUGCAGAAUACAUUGAAGUCUAUGAAGUGAGUGAUAUUUAUACGUGUAAAGGGUCAUCACAUGACUCGUGUCAGCGCUGCAGAAUACAUUGAAGUCUAUGAAGUGAGUGAUAUUUAUACGUGUAAAGGGUCAUCACAUGACUCGUGUCAGCGCUGCAGAAUACAUUGAAGUCUAUGAAGUGAGUGAUAUUUAUACGUGUAAAGGGUCAU
This is a long non-coding RNA of Xyrauchen texanus (razorback sucker), 531 nucleotides long. RefSeq lists it as uncharacterized. The transcript has 3 exons. The record is from RefSeq and is a predicted model, not a curated record. NCBI's taxonomy places the organism in Eukaryota, Metazoa, Chordata, Actinopteri, Cypriniformes, Catostomidae.